UGGGGAAUCUUGGACAAUGGGCGAAAGCCUGAUCCAGCCAUGCCGCGUGAGUGACGAAGGUCUUCGGAUUGUAAACUCCUGUCGACCGGGACGAAUGCACUCGACCUAAUACGUCGAGUUGUUGACGGUACCGGUGGAGGAAGCCACGGCUAACUCUGUGCCAGCAGCCGCGGUAAUACAGAGGUGGCAAGCGUUGUUCGGAAUUACUGGGCGUAAAGGGCGCGUAGGCGGCCUUGUAAGUCUCGUGUGAAAGCCCUCGGCUUAACUGAGGAUCUGCACGGGAUACUGCGAGGCUAGAGUUCGGGAGAGGAAAGCGGAAUUCCGGGUGUAGCGGUGAAAUGCGUAGAUAUCCGGAGGAACACCAGGGGCGAAGGCGGCUUUCUGGACCGACACUGACGCUGAGGCGCGAAAGCUAGGGGAGCAAACGGGAUUAGAUACCCCCGUAGUCCCUGAGCGGGCUGGCAAGGCGCAU
This 472-nucleotide ribosomal RNA is filed under the name uncultured bacterium. Its description in RNAcentral is "bacterial SSU rRNA". It matches the Rfam family "Bacterial small subunit ribosomal RNA", at positions 355 to 825 of the family's 1533-position model. The record is from RNAcentral.